This 441-nucleotide ribosomal RNA is filed under the name Gallinula chloropus (common moorhen). RNAcentral describes it as "partial 12S ribosomal RNA". It matches the Rfam family "Bacterial small subunit ribosomal RNA", at positions 769 to 1404 of the family's 1533-position model. Lineage: Eukaryota; Metazoa; Chordata; Aves; Gruiformes; Rallidae. The record is from RNAcentral.
AAACUGGGAUUAGAUACCCCACUAUGCUUGGCCUUAAAUCUAAAUACUUCUCCCCACCAAAGUAUUCGCCUGAGAACUACGAGCACAAACGCUUAAAACUCUAAGGACUUGGCGGUGCUCCAAACCCACCUAGAGGAGCCUGUUCUAUAAUCGAUAACCCACGAUAUACCCAACCCCUUCUUGCCUUAAGCAGCCUACAUACCGCCGUCCCCAGCUCACCUACCCUGAUAGACUUAACAGUGAGCACAAUAGCACCCCGCUAAUAAGACAGGUCAAGGUAUAGCCUAUGAACGGGAAGAAAUGGGCUACAUUUUCUAAAAUAGAAAACCCAACGAAAAGGGACCUGAAACACCCCCUAGAAGGAGGAUUUAGUAGUAAAGGGGGACAAGAAUGCCCCCUUAAACCCGGCCCUGGAGCACGUACAUACCGCCCGUCACCCUC